Hemicordylus capensis (graceful crag lizard) is the source of this 736-nucleotide long non-coding RNA. RefSeq lists it as uncharacterized. The record is from RefSeq and is a predicted model, not a curated record. NCBI's taxonomy places the organism in Eukaryota, Metazoa, Chordata, Lepidosauria, Squamata, Cordylidae. The transcript is spliced from 3 exons.
CCUUACCUCUAGCCUGUGGGUUUUUCAGAGGCAUCUGGUGGGCCACUGUGUGAAACAGGAUGCUGGACUAGAUGGGCCUCCUUGGGCCUGACGCAGCAGGGCUGUUCUUAAGCGUGGGAGGAUCUGCCUGCUCAUCCGCUGACACAAUCUGCCCCUUUGUUCUUCUCCAUUCAGACAUGGCCACUGAAGGACUGUUCAAGCAAGGAGCUCACUUUUGGCAGUGGAGCAUCUAGAAGCACAAGACUUACAAGUUUGCAGUUUCAUCCCUGCAGUGUCACUCCAAGAGGAAAGCAGUGAGAAGGAAGAGGGAAGGAAGCUCUCUCCUCUGCCAACAGUGCUGUUGCAGCAGCAGCAAGCAGCAGCAGUGGAAGAUAGCACACAGGAGAACACCCCUAGCUGAGGCAACAACAGCCAUAAAGUGGGAAAGCCGUCCCUCAUCAAGCACAUUUUCCCACGCACACUCUUGAGAGGAACUGAUGCCCAAGUUAGCAAUGCACUAAAGAACCUAAAUUCUGCGUAUAUUUUGUGCCCGAGGGUGCAAAGAGAGUCUCAAAUGCAUACAAAGGUUCGUCAUUUUCAUAUGUCUAUGAGAAUUCUCACAUAUCUGGUAACACACAGCACUCUAUUUAGCCAGAAUGCUCAUUGGCAUUACAAAUGCCCUGCUGCUUCAGCCUUUUCGUCUGCAUUAAGAACAAUCAGAUGCAAACAAACAGCACAAGAGGCAUCCAAAGGAGAU